Molecule: ribosomal RNA, 427 nt
Filed under: uncultured prokaryote
Description: bacterial SSU rRNA
Rfam family: Bacterial small subunit ribosomal RNA
Source: RNAcentral
UGGGGAAUUUUGGACAAUGGGGGCAACCCUGAUCCAGCCAUGCCGCGUGAGUGAAGAAGGCCUUCGGGUUGUAAAGCUCUUUCAGACGGAAAGAAAUCGCAUCCUCUAAUACGGGGUGUGGAUGACGGUACCGUAAGAAGAAGCACCGGCUAACUACGUGCCAGCAGCCGCGGUAAUACGUAGGGUGCGAGCGUUAAUCGGAAUUACUGGGCGUAAAGCGUGCGCAGGCGGUGAUGUAAGACAGAUGUGAAAUCCCCGGGCUCAACCUGGGAACUGCGUUUGUGACUGCAUCACUCGAGUACGGCAGAGGGAGGUGGAAUUCCACGUGUAGCAGUGAAAUGCGUAGAGAUGUGGAGGAACACCGAUGGCGAAGGCAGCCUCCUGGGCCAGUACUGACGCUCAUGCACGAAAGCGUGGGGAGCAAACA